UUUCCUUCUUUAUUCCACGUGUUGUUUAGAUGUCUGCUAUACGCUGUUUUCUCAGACAUUUCUCUAUUCCUUGUUUUGAUUUAUUUUAUAGAUUUUGCUGGGAAUCGGCUUUUUACAACUAGUGGUAUUGGUAUUGGUAUCGGUUUGUUUUUAUUUUUUAAGUCAGCAUUAAUGUUGUAUCUUUAUAGUUUGCUAGUUUAGAAAUUUCAAUUGCCUGGGUAUUUGACACGUGAUGCUUGGAUUGCAUGUAUUUCAGGUUGGGUUUGUGCAAUUUUUUUAUGAAAAGCAGCGGUGCUCAGCAUGUUUGUUCUGGUUGUUGAUUCUGCCAGCAUCUAAUUGCACCUUUCACAUAUUUUAAAACUUAAAAUUUUCAGUUCGAUCAUUUAGUUGUAUGAUUUUUUUUAUUGUGUUAUUGAUUCUUGGUUUCAAAUAUUCUUGUAAUUCUGAAAAGCUGUGUGAAGAAUGUGGUGCUAAUCUAUCUACAAAGAUGGCAGAGAUAUUGAUUGGGGCUUUCUUUUUCUUGGUCGAUAACACCAAUAAGUUCUCUUUUCCUGUCAAUUUUUAAGUAAUUCUGUUUGCUUGUUCUAUUUUUUCUUUUGUUCUUGUUUUGAUGUUGUGGCAUGCGACUGCUUUUCUUAGGCAUUACGUUCCAAGGGGAUCCUCAAUUCUAGAAUGAAGUUAGGCUGUCCCUUCGUCCUCCUGUUGUGUUUCUUCCGGUAUGUUAGUUGACUCCUUGGUGCGAAUAACCCGUAUGUGGCCUUUGGACUUCUAUUUCUGCACCUAACCAUCUUUGGACAGUAAAAACACAGGUUUUUGCUUUAUCAUCUUGUGAUCGACAUUUGUGUUUUGAGAUUUAGAUCGAUUUAAGUUACAUUGCUGGACUGGUGUCACUAAUUGGUAAUCUCAGGUUAAUGCUCAUUACAUUACACAGAAAGUCGAGGGUAUGUCAACCAGGUCUGCAAUCUCAAGUUUUUACGUAGUGGGCGGAUUUUUAGGCAGCGAGUAACAUAUGCUUUUGCUGGUGAUGUUUGUUUCUUGGUGAUAUUGCUGGACUUGUGUAGCUAUUCAAUAAUCUCAGAUUAAUGCUUAAUAUAUUGCACAAAGUUAGUCGGUUGGUAACUUACAUGUCACCAGGUCAGCAAUCUAAAUUUUUUCCAGUUCUGGGUGGAUAUUUGAAGACUGAGUAACAUAGCUUCUUUUGCCAGUGAUGUCAGUUUCAUGGUUUUGUGACGUAGAUUCCUAUUUUGUGAAGUUUGUUGGGAUAUUGAUGAGGAAGUUGUUUGAAAAUAUGCCGUUGAUCUAUUCACAGGUGGAGGUUAUGAUUUGGGUUUUCUCGUGAGUGAGCAAGAGUUUUUGGAGUUGGCCUUUCUGCAGAAAUUAGUGAAAUGCUUUUUUUUUUUCCUUCUUUAUUCCACGUGUUGUUUAGAUGUCUGCUAUACGCUGUUCUCUCAGACAUUUCUCUAUUCCUUGUUUUGAUUUAUUUUAUAGAUUUUGUUGCGAAUCGGCUUUUUACAACUUUGGGUUCUUGCAAAGUUGGCCUGCGGUAUUGGUAUUGGUAUCGGUUUGUUUUUAUUUUUUAAAUCAGCAUUAAUGUUGUAUCUUUAUAGUUUGCUAGUUUAGAAAUUUCAAUUGCCUGGUAUUUGACACGUGAUGCUUGGAUUGCAUGUAUUUCAGGUUGUGUUUGUGCAAUUUUUUUACAAAAAGCAGCGGUGAUCUGCAGGUUUGUUCUGGUUGUUGAUUCUGCCAGCAUCUAAUUGCUCCUUUCACGUAUUUUAAAACUUAAAAUUUUCAGUUUGAUCAUUUAGUUGUAUGAUUUUCUUUUAUUGUGUUAUUGAUUCUUGGUUUCAAAUAUUCUUGUAAUUCUGAAAAGCUGUGUGAAGAAUUUGGUGCUAAUCUAUUUACAAAGAUGGCAGAGAUAUUGAUUGGGGCUUUCUUUUUCUUGGUCGAGAACACCAAUAAGUUCUCUUUUCCUGUCAAUUUUUAAUUAAUUCUUUUUGCUUGUUCUAUUUUUUCUUUUGUUCUUGUUUUGAUGUUGUGGCAUGCGACUGCUUUUCUUAGGCAUUAUGUUCCAAGGGGAUCCUCAAUUCUAGAAUGAAGUUAGGCUGUCCCUUCGUCCUCCUGUUGUGUUUCUACUGGUAUGUGAGUUUGACUCCUUGGUGCGAAUAACUGUUAUGUGGCCUUCGGACUUCUAUUUCUGCACAUAACCAUCUUUGGACAGUAAAAACACAGGUUUUUGCUUUAUCAUCUUGUGAUCGACAUUUGUGUUUUGAGAUUUAGAUCGAUUUUAGUUACAUUGCUGGACUGGUGUCACUAAUUGGUAAUCUCAGGUUAAUGAUCAUUACAUUACACAGAAAGUCGAGGGUAUGUCAACCAGGUUUGCAAUCUCAAGUUUUUAGCGUGGUGGGUGGAUUUUUAGGCAGCGAGUAACAUAUGCUUUUGCUGGUGAUGGUUGUUUCUUGGUGAUAUUGCUGGACAUGUGUCUAUUCAGUAAUCUCAGAUUAAUGCUUAAUAUAUUGCACAAAGUUGGUUGGUUGGUAACUUGCAUGUCACCAGGUCAGCAAUCUAAAGUUUUUCCAGUUCUGGUUGGAUAUUUGAAGACUGCGUAACAUAGCUUCUAUUGCCGGUGAUGUCUGUUUCAUAGUUUUGUGACGUGUAGUUUUUUAUUUCGUGAAGUAUUUUGGGAUAUUGAUGAGGAAGUUGUUUGAAAAUAUGUCAUUGAUCUGUUCACAGGAGGAGGUUAUGAUUUGGGUUUUCUCGUGCUUGAGCAAGAGUUUUUGAAGUUGGCCUUUAUGCGGAAAUUAGCGGAAAUUAGUGAAAUGCUUUUUUUUCCCUCUUUAUUCCAAGUGUUGUUUAGAUGCCUGCUAUAUUCUGUUCUCUCAGACAUUUCUCUAUUCGUUGUUUUGAUUUAUUUUAUAGAUUUUGAUGCGAAUUGGCUUUUUACAACUUUGGAUUCUUCCAAAUUUGGCUUGCUGUAUUGGUAUUGGUAUCGGCUUGUUUUUAUUUUUUAUUUUUUAUUUUUUAAAGCAGCAUUAAUGUUGUAUAUCUAUGGUUUGCUAGCUUGGCUAUCAUAAGUUUAGAAAUUUCAAUUGCUUGGUAUUUGACACGUGAUGCUUGGAUUGCAUGUAUUUCAGGUUGGGUUAGUGCAAUCUUUUAUGAAAAGCAGCGGUGCUCAGCAUGUUUGUUCUGGUUUUUUGAUUCUGCCAGCAUCUAAUUGCGCUUUUCACAUAUUUUAAAACUUAAAAUUUUCAGUUCUAUCAUUUAGUUGUAUGAUUUUGUUGAUUGUGUUAUUGAUUCUUGGUUUAACUAUUCUUGUAAUUCUGAAAAGCAGUGUGAAGAACUUGGUGCUAAUAUGUCUACAAAGAUGGCAGAGAUAUUGAUUGGGGUUUCUGUUUCUUUGUCGAUAGAGUUUGAUGUGGCAAUAAGUUCUCUUUUCCUGUCAAUUUUUAAGUAAUUCUUUUUGCUUGUUCUAUUUUUUCUUUGUUCUUGUUUUAAUGUUGUGGCAUGCGACUGCUUUUCUUAGGCAUUAUGUUCCAAGGGGAUCCUCAAUUCUAGAACAAAGUUAGGUUGACUCCUUGGUGCGAAUAACCUGUAUGUGGCCUUUGGAAUUCUAUUUCUGUACAAAACCAUCUUUGGGCAGUAAAACCACAGGUUUUUGCUUUAUCAUUUUGUGAUCGAUAUUUGGUGUUUUGAGAUUUGGAUUGAUUUAAUUUACAUUGCUGGACUGGUGUCACUAAUUGGUAAUCUCAGGUUAAUGCUCAUUACAUUACACAGAAAGUCGAGGGUAUGUCAACCAGGUCUGCAAUCUCAAGCUUUUACCGUAGUGGGCGGAUUUUUAAGCAGCGAGUAACAUAUGCUUUUGCUGGUGAUAUUUGUUUCUUGGUGAUAUUGCUGGACUUGUGUAGCUAUUCAGUAAUCUUAGAUUAAUGUUUGUUAUAUUGCACAAAGUUAGCCGGUUGGUACCUUAUAUGUCAACCAGGUCUGCAAUCUAAAGUUUUUCCAGUUCUAGGUGGAUAUUUGAAGACUCUGUAACAUAGCUUCUUUUGCCGGUGAUGUCCGUUUCAUGGUUUUGUGACGUGUAGUUUCCUAUUUCGUGAAGUUUUUUCGGAUAUUGAUGAGGAAGUUGUUUGAAAAUAUGUUGUUGAUCUGUUCACAGGCAGGUGGAGGUUAUGAUUUGGGUUUUCUCGUGAUUGAGCAAGAGUUUUUGAAGUUGGCCUUUCUGCGGAAAUUAGUGAAAUGCUUUUUUUUCCCUCUUUAUUCCACGUGUUGUUUAGAUGUCUACUAUAGGCUGUUCACUCAGACAUUUCUCUAUUCCUUGUUUUGAUUUCUUUUAUAGAUUUUGCUGCGAAUCGGCUUUCUACAACUUUGGGUUCUUGCAAAGUUGACUUGUCGGUAUUGGUAUCGGUUUGUUUUUAUUUUUUAUUUUUUUAAAUCAGCGUUAAUGUUGUAUCUUUAUGGUUUGCUGGCUUGGCUAUUAUAAGUUUAGAAAUUUUAAUUGCUUGGUAUUUGACAUGUGGCGCUUGGAUUGCAUGUAUUUCAGGUUGGGUUUGUGCAAUUUUUUAUGAAAAGCAGCGGUGCACAGCAUGUUUGUUCUGGGUGUUCAUUCUACCAGCAUCUAAUUGCACUUUUCACAUAUUUUAAAUCUUAAAAUUUUCAGUUCGAUCAUUUAGUUGCGACUUUUAUGCACAGAUUGGAGCUUUGGUCAGCAUUGCCAUUUAUUAUCAUUUGGAUCGUGUGAAACUGUUGUAUGACUUUGUUGAUUGUGUUAUUGAUUCUUGGUUUAACUAUUCUUGUAGUUCUUGAAAGGUGUAUGAAGAAUUUGGUGCUAAUAUAUCUACAAAUAUGGCAAAGAUUGGGCUUUCUUUUUCUUGGUCAAUAGAGUUCAAUGUGGCAAUAAGUUCACUUUUCCUGUCAAUUUUAAAGUAAUUCUUUUUGCUGCUUCUAUUUUUUCUUUGUUAUUGUUUUAAUGUUGUGGCCUGUGACUGCUUUUCUUAGGCAUUAUGUUCCGUGGGGAUCCUCAAUUCUAGAAUGAAGUUAGAUUGUCCCUUCAUCCUCCUGUUGUUAUUCUAUUGUAGAAUGAAGUUAGAUUGUCCCUUCAUCCUCCUGUUGUUUUUCUGUUGGUAUAUUAGUUGCCUCCUGGGUGCAAAUAACGAGUAUGUGGCCUCUGGACUUCUAUAUCUGCGCAAAACCAUCUUUGGACAGUAAAAGCAUAGGUUUUUGCUUUAUCAUAUUGUGAUCAACAUUUGGUGUUUUGAGAUUUGGAUUGAUUUUACAUUGCUGGACUGGUCGCUAAUUGGUAAUCUCAGUUUAACGCUCAUUACAUUACACAGAAAGUCCACAGAAAGUCAUGGGUAUGUCGACCAUGUCCGCAAUCUCAAGUUUUUACAGUACUGGGCGGAUUUUUAAGCACCGAGCAACAUAUGCUUUUGCUGGUGAUGUUUGUUUCUUGGUGUUGUGAAGUGUAGUUUCCUAUUUCAUGAAGUUUUUGGGAUAACUAAUGAGGAAGAUGUUUGAACGUUGAUCUAUUCACAGGUGGAGGCUGGGUUUUGGGCUUUCUCGUGUUUGAGCAAUUGAGUUUGUGAAUUUGGACCUUCUGCAUAAAUAAGCGAAAUUCUUUUCUUCUUCCCUCUUUAUUUCACUUAUUGUUUAGAAGUAUGCCAUGUGCUGUUCUCUCAUACAUGUACCUUUUCCUUGUCUUCCUUGUGUUGGGUUUCCAUGCAUUGCUAGUGGAAGAUUUCUUUAUCUUUAUUGUGAAUUUCUAGUUUCUUCCAAUACUUUGUUGAUUGUUGUUGGGGCUUCUUUUUCAACAGUGGUUAACGCUUUAGGAAUUCUUCUUCAUAGAAGGGUCUCUUUGAAGAUGCUGGUGAUCGAUUUCAACGAGGUUCUUCUUUGUGUUAGGUGAUGCAUUGCUACUUGAUUCUAUCAAUUUUGGUUUUUCUGCCAAAAGAUUUGUGUUGAUUGCUUGCAGGGUAGAUUUUCUUCGUCACAGAUUAGGGUUCUUUCAAUACGUAAGUGAUUGCUUUCAGAUGUGGUUUUCUUCAUAUGGUCAAGACUUUCAGGGAAGAUCUUGUGUUAGGCUUUGGUACAUCAUUACUUAAUCUGUCAUCUUUGUGACGAAUUUGGGUUUUAUUCCGAAAUUUUUAUGUUGAUUGCCUGCAGGGAGGAUUUUACUCGUCAUAGAUUGGGGGUUCUUUCGAUAAUCAAUUAUUGCUUCAUGGUGCUUUUCUUUGUUACAAUUUAGUGUUUCUUUCGGUAUGUCUGAUGUUCCCUUUUAGGGAAGAUCUUCUUUGUGUUAGGUUUGGAUUUGUUGCCGUUAGAGAAUUCCCAUCAUGCUUGUAACAAAUUUGGUUUUGCCCAAUAUUUUGUUUAUCAUUUGUCGCUAAGAUCGCUACAGGUUGUGUUGAUCGUUCUUGGGGAGAAUCUUCUGUGUUAAAGAUUAAUACUUUCUUUCAAUAUGGUGGGGAUCACUUUUGUGUGAUACUUUUUUUAUUUGAGGCAGUAAAGUGUACUUUUGCUUCUUGCUUAUGCAUCCGAAUGCUAUGGAGGGGGAGUUGAUAUGUUUGAUGAAUUUGGUGCUAAUAUUUCUACAAGGAGAUGAGAUUUUGAUUGGGGCUUUCUUGUGCCUGGUCAAAAGAGUUUGUUGUGGCGAUAAGUUCUCUUUUUCCCUCCUUUUUAUAAGGAAUUCGUACUGCUUCUUUUAAUGCUGUGGCCUGUUGAUAUUUUCAUUGACUCCUGGGGUUAAUAACCAGAACAUUGCCUUCGGACUUCAAUUUCUUCGCCAAACCAUCUGAUGUUGGACAGUAAAAGCAUAGGAUUUUGACAUGAGCUAGGCAUUUUGAGAAUUGGAUUGAUUUAUGUUACAUUGCUGGAUUUGUGUAACUAAUUGGUAAUCUCAUAUUGCUGCUCAUUACACAACACAAAGUAAUUCAGUGGGUGCCUUGUUCAAGAUGAUCAUGAUUGCUUUCAAUAUGAUGUUAAUCUUUCACAGCUAAGAUCGCUACAAAUUGUGUUGAUUGUUCUCGGGCAGAAUCUCCUUUGUUAAAGAUCAAGAUUUCUUUCAACAUGGUGGGUAAAGGGUGGACUUUUGCUUCUUUCUUAUGUGUGGUAAUGCUAUGGAGAGGAGUUAUGGUUUCAUAGUUAUUUGGAAAUAUAUUAUAUUAUUUGAUUUUGUCCUUUGAUUAUUGGUUUCACUAUUCUUGUAUUUCUUAAUGUGAAGAAUUUGGUGCUAAUAUGUCUACACGGAGAGGAGAUUUUGAUUGGGGCUUUCUUGUACCUGGUCUGCCGAGUUUUAUGUGGCAAUAAGUUUUCUUUUCCUUUCCUUUUUAUAAGGAAUUCUUUCUGCUUGUUAAAUCUUUCUUUGUUCUUGCUUUAAUGUUGUGGUAUGUGGCUGCUUUUCUUAGACAUUAUGUUCCAAGGGGAUCAGGAAUUCUGGAAUGAAAUUAGGCUCCCAUUGUCCUGUCGUCGUGUUUCUAUUGGUAUUUUAGUUUUGACUCCUUGGGGCGAAUAACCAGUAUGUUGCCUUUGGACUUUAAUUUUUGUGCAAAAUCAUGUUUGGACAGUAAAAAUACAGGUUUUGCUUUAUCCUCUUGUGAUUGACAUUAGGCUUUUUGAGAUUUGGGUUGACUUAAAGUUACAUUGCCGGACUUGUCUCUAAUUGGUGGUAUUCUCAUAUUAAUGGUCAUUACAUUACACAAAGUAAGUCGGCGGGUGUCAACCAGGUCUGCAAUCUAAAGUUUUUCCAAUGCUGGGUGGAUAUUUGAAGACCGAGUAACAUAGCUUCUUUUGCCUGUGAUGUUUUUUUCAGGGUCUUGUGACAUAGUUUCCUAUUUCAUGAAGUUUUUUGGGAUAUUGAUGAGGUAGUCGUUUGAAAACAUGCCAUUGAUCUAUUAACAGGUGGAGGAUAUGAUUUCGGCUUUCUUGUGAUUGAGGAAGAGUUUUUGAAGUUGGUCUUUCUGCAGAAAUUAGUGAAAUGCUUUUUUCCCCUCUUUAGUUCUUGUGAAUCAGUGAAAUGCCUGUUCUUAGAAUAGAAUUAUAAAAUGUCACUGCUUAUCCUUCUGAUCAGUAGGACAAGAAGAGGAGUUUUUGAUCACUCAUUUUGUACAAAGGGCAAUUGAAUGAGAAACUGAAGAUUUAAACCCAUUUUGAGGUAUUCCUGCACUACUGAGUAUGUUUGUCCUGGUUCUUGCUUCUACCAGCAUCUACUCGUACUUUUCCUAGCUUCUUCUUUUGUCUUAAAAUUAUUAAAUUGUUUUCGUGUUGCAAGCAACUUCUCACGCAGAAGACAGAAUGGAGCUUAGGUUUAGGGUUCAGAGUUGUGGACGUCUUCUAUGUUCUUGGACACGGUUCAGGCAUGCAGCAGUUUUGUGAUUUGUGGUUUGCAGUUGCUGCAAUUAUGAUAUUUAAAGAAUUUGAUGUUGACAUGUCUAGAUGAAUUUUGAUUUGGGUUUUCUUAUUUCUGCUGGUGCUGAACAACUAGAACUUAGCCCCUGAUUUCUGUGGAUAAGCAUCUUUGGGCAGUGAAAGGACAGGGUUUUGCUUUAUCCUCUUCAUUGACGACGCAAGUUAAGCAUUUUGAGGUUUGCAUGGAAUUAACCUCUGUUUCUAGAUUUGUUUUAAUCUCUGCAUAGUAGGAGAUUGUUGCCUGAUCAAAUUCUAUGGCGAAGAGUGUGAGUUAGUUGAUGCAAGUUAAUGCCUUCAAUGUUCUAUACAGAUAUUUGAGCUCCAAGUAACAUCUGACUCUAUAUGCUCUGAUGAUGAGGGAUGUGAUUUGGGCUUUCUGAUGUUCGAGCAAUUGACUUUGUGAAUCCUCAUCUUUUCCUCUUAUUUGGUCUGUAAAGCCUGCAGAAUUAAAAUCUGGUGAGCGAUGGCCUUUUGCAGCUCUUUGGCAUCUAGCAUGGUUUCGCUCAUCUUUGGUAUUCAAUGGAACUGUUCUUCUUUGUACCUUAAUGCAGCUUGUUAGGAUAUCAAGUUGGUGUGCUCAUAUCGUGUUGCAACUUAUGCAGAUUGGAGCUUUAGUCAGUGUUGUGAUUUAUUGAUCUGGCAGUUGUGUAAGAGUUGCAGGCUCUAAGAGAUAGGGUUCCAAAGUAAUGUUUUUAUCUCCUGUGUUAUUGGAUCGUUUGGGCAUAUAGUAUUUUUAUGAUUUGUGGUUUCCAAUUCCUUAAAUUAUGAUAUUUAAAGAGGUUAAUGUUAAUGUAUAAAUGAAAUAUCUUUAUUA
Long non-coding RNA from Corylus avellana, 9211 nucleotides. RefSeq lists it as uncharacterized. Lineage: Eukaryota; Viridiplantae; Streptophyta; Magnoliopsida; Fagales; Betulaceae. The record is from RefSeq and is a predicted model, not a curated record.